GGGUGCUUAGCUCAGUUGGUAGAGCAUCGCCCUUACAAGGCGAGGGUCGUAGGUUCGAACCCUGCAGCACCCACCA
Molecule: transfer RNA, 76 nt
Filed under: Achromatium sp. WMS2
Lineage: Bacteria; Pseudomonadati; Pseudomonadota; Gammaproteobacteria; Thiotrichales; Thiotrichaceae
Description: tRNA-Val
Rfam family: tRNA
About the family: Transfer RNA (tRNA) molecules are approximately 80 nucleotides in length. Their secondary structure includes four short double-helical elements and three loops (D, anti-codon, and T loops). Further hydrogen bonds mediate the characteristic L-shaped molecular structure. tRNAs have two regions of fundamental functional importance: the anti-codon, which is responsible for specific mRNA codon recognition, and the 3' end, to which the tRNAs corresponding amino acid is attached (by aminoacyl-tRNA synthetases). tRNAs cope with the degeneracy of the genetic code in two manners: having more than one tRNA (with a specific anti-codon) for a particular amino acid; and 'wobble' base-pairing, i.e. permitting non-standard base-pairing at the 3rd anti-codon position.
Source: RNAcentral